RNAcentral lists this microRNA (22 nucleotides) under Gallus gallus (chicken). RNAcentral describes it as "gga-miR-1698". The record is from miRBase by way of RNAcentral. Lineage: Eukaryota; Metazoa; Chordata; Aves; Galliformes; Phasianidae.
CGAGGCUGCGGCAAUCCCUGCG